Molecule: ribosomal RNA, 402 nt
Filed under: uncultured Sphingomonas sp.
Lineage: Bacteria; Pseudomonadati; Pseudomonadota; Alphaproteobacteria; Sphingomonadales; Sphingomonadaceae
Description: bacterial SSU rRNA
Rfam family: Bacterial small subunit ribosomal RNA
Source: RNAcentral
UGGGGAAUAUUGGACAAUGGGCGAAAGCCUGAUCCAGCAAUGCCGCGUGAGUGAUGAAGGCCUUAGGGUUGUAAAGCUCUUUUACCAGGGAAGAUAAUGACUGUACCGGGAGAAUAAGCCCCGGCUAACUCCGUGCCAGCAGCCGCGGUAAUACGGAGGGGGCUAGCGUUGUUCGGAAUUACUGGGCGUAAAGCGCACGUAGGCGGCUUUACAAGUCAGGGGUGAAAGCCCGCGGCUCAACCGCGGAAUUGCCCUUGAGACUGUAUCGCUUGAACACGGGAGAGGUCAGUGGAAUUCCGAGUGUAGAGGUGAAAUUCGUAGAUAUUCGGAAGAACACCAGUGGCGAAGGCGACUGACUGGACAAGUAUUGACGCUGAGGUGCGAAAGCGUGGGGAGCAAACA